AUUGAACGCUGGCGGCAUGCCUUACACAUGCAAGUCGAACGGCAGCACGGGUGCUUGCACCUGGUGGCGAGUGGCGAACGGGUGAGUAAUACAUCGGAACAUGUCCUGUAGUGGGGGAUAGCCCGGCGAAAGCCGGAUUAAUACCGCAUACGAUCUACGGAUGAAAGCGGGGGACCUUCGGGCCUCGCGCUAUAGGGUUGGCCGAUGGCUGAUUAGCUAGUUGGUGGGGUAAAGGCCUACCAAGGCGACGAUCAGCAGCUGGUCUGAGAGGACGACCAGCCACACUGGGACUUAGACACGGCCCAGACUCCUACGGGAGGCAGCAGUGGGGAAUUUUGGACAAUGGGCGAAAGCCUGAUCCAGCAAUGCCGCGUGUGUGAAGAAGGCCUUCGGGUUGUAAAGCACUUUUGUCCGGAAAGAAAUCCUUGGCCCUAAUACGGUCGGGGGAUGACGGUACCGGAAGAAUAAGCACCGGCUAACUACGUA
Molecule: ribosomal RNA, 486 nt
Filed under: uncultured bacterium
Lineage: Bacteria
Description: partial 16S ribosomal RNA
Rfam family: Bacterial small subunit ribosomal RNA
Source: RNAcentral